RNAcentral lists this unclassified non-coding RNA (227 nucleotides) under Hevea brasiliensis (rubber tree). Lineage: Eukaryota; Viridiplantae; Streptophyta; Magnoliopsida; Malpighiales; Euphorbiaceae. The record is from RNAcentral.
AAUACUGAAUUGGGGAUUUUUUUGGAUUUUGGGAGAAAAGGGGUUUCUGGGUUUGAUGGAUUGAGGGAAGAUGGAGAAGAAAUGGGAAUGAAAGAGACGGCAUUUUGAUGCUAUUUGCAUUUUCUUGAUGAUUUUUGAGCUUCACUUCAAUGGCUGCUCUGGUUCGAGACUACUUUUAUCACUCCCUAGAUAUAUUUUUUGCUCAAUUCUAAAAUUAUACUUUGAUU